RNAcentral lists this long non-coding RNA (718 nucleotides) under Rattus norvegicus (Norway rat). RNAcentral's name for it is "long non-coding RNA NONRATT016027". The record is from RNAcentral. Lineage: Eukaryota; Metazoa; Chordata; Mammalia; Rodentia; Muridae.
CACACUGUAGCUCAGCGUCGCCAGGCUGGCCAAUACUACCUCAGUUUCCCAAGUUUGGAGAUUACAUGUUCUGUUUGUUUUCUUUUUUAACAAACAAUAAAUUUAGUAUAAAGUAAUGGUAGUUGGAGGUAACGUACAAAGUAGAGGUGCUACGCCAAGAUGAAGCGCCACAAUAAGGCCAUCCUGUGUCUGCUGGUUCUUCAUGCACACACCAAUUAUUAGGUGAGGGGUUGGUAUUGGGCCUUCCGUUGCAAUGUUAGGUGUCCAUUUUGUAAUGAGCCCCAUUGGGGAGUUCGACCACUUCCUUGAUCUGUCAGAUCUGAAACAAGCCACCUAUCAGUCUGUAAACAAACAAACAAACAAACAAAAAACUAGAUGGUUCCUGGAAGAUGGUGCUGUUUCUGGUGUACUCGGAGGCUGCAGUCAUCUCCCUCAAAAUGGACUUAGAAGCUGUGUUUCCAGAGGCAAGCAGGUAUGAGUUGGGGCCAGCCUGGUCUACGUAGGAAGUUUCGGGCCAGUCAGGUUUGCAGCGAGAACCUGACUCAAAUUAAGAUGGAGUCUCCCAGGGCAGGGCACAGCCUGGAAAAAAAAAAAAAAAAAACACUGUUUCCUACAAUAUAGGGCAAUUUCGAAUAGCGCAUAGCCAUUAGGGCAUCUCGAAAGUGCCCAGUGAGUUUUCUGGGUUCUUGUGUUCCAGAAUUAAAAAAAAAAAAAAAAA